This 433-nucleotide ribosomal RNA is filed under the name uncultured bacterium. RNAcentral's name for it is "partial 16S ribosomal RNA". It matches the Rfam family "Bacterial small subunit ribosomal RNA", at positions 29 to 507 of the family's 1533-position model. The record is from RNAcentral.
AACGAACGCUGGCGGCAUGCCUAACACAUGCAAGUCGAACGAGACCUUCGGGUCUAGUGGCGCACGGGUGCGUAACGCGUGGGAACCUGCCCUUAGGUUCGGAAUAACUCCCCGAAAGGGGUGCUAAUACCGGAUAAUGUCUUCGGAUCAAAGAUUUAUCGCCUUUGGAUGGGCCCGCGUUGGAUUAGCUAGUUGGUAGGGUAAAAGCCUACCAAGGCGACGAUCCAUAGCUGGUCUGAGAGGAUGAUCAGCCACACUGGGACUGAGACACGGCCCAGACCCCUACGGGAGGCAGCAGUGGGGAAUAUUGGACAAUGGGCGAAAGCCUGAUCCAGCAAUGCCGCGUGAGUGAUGAAGGCCUUAGGGCUGUAAAGCUCUUUUACCCGGGAUGAUAAUGACAGUACCGGGAGAAUAAGCGCCGGCUAACUCCGUG